This 223-nucleotide unclassified non-coding RNA is filed under the name Hevea brasiliensis (rubber tree). The record is from RNAcentral. Lineage: Eukaryota; Viridiplantae; Streptophyta; Magnoliopsida; Malpighiales; Euphorbiaceae.
AAAAUAAUUGAAAUUACAGGUUCUUUGCAUGCUGGAGGAAAAUUGUUUAAGCAUGUGACUUUAUUAGCUCCCUUCUUACUGUCACCACAUGUACUCUCUCUAUAACUUAUUUGAGGAGCAAACAGUUUUAUAAUGUUCUGGGCUUUCUUUUCAUUAUUAUCUAUUUAAUUCCUAUUAACAAAUGCAUUUUGUAGUGAAUUUGUAGCUUCUGUUAAAUUGGAAU